GACGAACGCUGGCGGCGUGCUUAACACAUGCAAGUCGAACGGAAAGGCCCUGCUUUUGUGGGGUGCUCGAGUGGCGAACGGGUGAGUAACACGUGAGUAACCUGCCCUUGACUUUUGGAUAACUUCAGGAAACUGGGGCUAAUACCGGAUAGGAGCUCCUGCUGCAUGGUGGGGGUUGGAAAGUUUCGGCGGUUGGGGAUGGACGCGCGGCUUGUCAGCUUGUUGGUGGGGUAGUGGCUUACCAAGGCUUUGACGGGUAGCCGGCCUGAGAGGGUGACCGGCCACAUUGGGACUGAGAUACGGCCCAGACGCCUACGGGAGGCAGCAGUGGGGAAUAUUGCACAAUGGGCGGAAGCCUGAUGCAGCAACGCCGCGUGCGGGAUGACGGCCUUCGGGUUGUAAACCGCUUUCGCCUGUGACGAAGCGUGAGUGACGGUAAUGGGUAAAGAAGCACCGGCUAACUACGUG
This 468-nucleotide ribosomal RNA is filed under the name uncultured bacterium. RNAcentral's name for it is "partial 16S ribosomal RNA". It matches the Rfam family "Bacterial small subunit ribosomal RNA", at positions 28 to 507 of the family's 1533-position model. The record is from RNAcentral.